UGCCAGCCGCCGCGGUAAUACGGGGGAUGCAAGCGUUGUUCGGAAUUAUUGGGCGUAAAGCGUGCGUAGGCGGACUAUUAAGUCUGAUGUGAAAUCCCUCGGCUCAACCGAGGACCUGCAUUGGAUACUGGUAGUCUUGAGUCCCGGAGAGGAUAGCGGAAUUCCUAGUGUAGAGGUGAAAUUCGUAGAUAUUAGGAGGAACACCAGUGGCGAAAGCGGCUCACUGGCUCGAUACUGACGCUGAGGUGCGAAAGUGUGGGGAGCAAACAGGAUUAGAUA
This 279-nucleotide ribosomal RNA is filed under the name uncultured bacterium. RNAcentral's name for it is "partial 16S ribosomal RNA". It matches the Rfam family "Bacterial small subunit ribosomal RNA", at positions 506 to 784 of the family's 1533-position model. The record is from RNAcentral.